GGACAAUCUGGCUACGACACCUGCACAUGGAUGGCCAGGGUUGACUCUGCUGAUCUGGCUGACUGGGCAGGUGUCCCCCUUCAUCCCUUUCAGUGAAAGAGGGGGACCAUCCUUCACAGAAGAGGACCAGUCUUAGGCCAAGGGUAUUUGACUAACUGUGCUCUCCUGAACAUGCCUUCAGUGACUGUCAUGAUUCAAAUUAGCCAUUCUGGAAGGUUGUUCAAGUUUUCUCACAUUUGCUCUUUCUCUAUGUGUCGUGUAUGUGGUGUACAUA
This 274-nucleotide small nuclear RNA is filed under the name Neotoma lepida (desert woodrat). Its description in RNAcentral is "7SK RNA". It matches the Rfam family "7SK RNA". From Rfam's summary of the family: 7SK was discovered as an abundant small nuclear RNA in the mid-70s but a possible function has only recently been suggested. Two independent studies have found that 7SK RNA binds the CDK9/cyclin T complex (known as elongation factor P-TEFb). Lineage: Eukaryota; Metazoa; Chordata; Mammalia; Rodentia; Cricetidae. The record is from Rfam by way of RNAcentral.